RNAcentral lists this ribosomal RNA (253 nucleotides) under uncultured prokaryote. RNAcentral's name for it is "partial 16S ribosomal RNA". It matches the Rfam family "Bacterial small subunit ribosomal RNA", at positions 525 to 777 of the family's 1533-position model. The record is from RNAcentral.
ACGGAGGGUGCAAACGUUGCUCGGAAUCAUUGGGCGUAAAGCGCACGUAGGCGGCUCAGUAAGUCGGGUGUGAAAGCCCUCGGCUCAACCGAGGAAGUGCAUUCGAAACUACUGAGCUUGAAUACUGGAGAGGAUCGCGGAAUUCCCGGUGUAGAGGUGAAAUUCGUAGAUAUCGGGAAGAACACCCGUGGCGAAGGCGGCUCUCUGGGACGGUACUGACGCUGAGACGCGAAAGCGUGGGGAGCGAACAGGA